AACGAACGCUGGCGGCAUGCCUAACACAUGCAAGUCGAACGAGACCUUCGGGUCUAGUGGCGCACGGGUGCGUAACGCGUGGGAACCUGCCCUUAGGUUCGGAAUAACUCCCCGAAAGGGGUGCUAAUACCGGAUAAUGUCUUCGGACCUAAGAUUUAUCGCCUUUGGAUGGGCCCGCGUUGGAUUAGCUAGUUGGUAGGGUAAAAGCCUACCAAGGCGACGAUCCAUAGCUGGUCUGAGAGGAUGAUCAGCCACACUGGGACUGAGACACGGCCCAGAAUGCUACGGGGGGGAGCAGUAGGGAAUAUUGGACGAUGGGCGAAAGCCUGAUCCAGCAAUGCCGCGUGAGUGAUGAAGGCCUUAGGGUUGUAAAGCUCUUUUACCCGGGAUGAUAAUGACAGUACCGGGAGAAUAAGCACCGGCUAACUCCGUG
RNAcentral lists this ribosomal RNA (433 nucleotides) under uncultured bacterium. RNAcentral describes it as "partial 16S ribosomal RNA". It matches the Rfam family "Bacterial small subunit ribosomal RNA", at positions 29 to 507 of the family's 1533-position model. The record is from RNAcentral.